CCUACGGGAGGCAGCAGUGGGGAAUAUUGGACAAUGGGCGAAAGCCUGAUCCAGCAAUGCCGCGUGAGUGAUGAAGGCCUUAGGGUUGUAAAGCUCUUUUACCCGGGAUGAUAAUGACAGUACCGGGCGAAUAAGCUCCGGCUAACUCCGUGCCAGCAGCCGCGGUAAUACGGAGGGAGCUAGCGUUAUUCGGAAUUACUGGGCGUAAAGCGCACGUAGGCGGCUUUGUAAGUAAGAGGUGAAAGCCCAGAGCUCAACUCUGGAAUUGCCUUUAGACUGCAUCGCUUGAAUCAUGGAGAGGUCAGUGGAAUUCCGAGUGUAGAGGUGAAAUUCGUAGAUAUUCGGAAGAACACCAGUGGCGAAGGCGGCUGACUGGACAUGUAUUGACGCUGAGGUGCGAAAGCGUGGGGAGUAAACAGGAUUAGAUACCCUGGUAGUCCACGCCGUAAACGAUGAUAACUAGCUGUCCGGACACUUGGUGUUUGGGUGGCGCAGCUACGCAUUAAGUUAUCCGCCGUGGGAGGUACGGCCGCGAAGGUUAAAACGUUAAAGGUAAAGUUAGACGGCGUGAGACGUGCCGAACGGACGACGACGAGGGAGGAGG
RNAcentral lists this ribosomal RNA (604 nucleotides) under uncultured bacterium. RNAcentral's name for it is "bacterial SSU rRNA". The stretch from base 1 to 516 matches the Rfam family "Bacterial small subunit ribosomal RNA", at positions 338 to 873 of the family's 1533-position model. The record is from RNAcentral.